AAGUUGAUGGAGCUUGAGUAGUGAAUAACCAGAACAAAGGGAAACUGGAUAUAUUAAAAGAAUGAAACAAGGUUGAAGACAACCAUGAGUACCAAAGGAAAUAUUUCUCUACCCUCCACUCCUAUGCCUCCUGGCUUAUUUAUAAUGGUUUCCUAACGGCUACAAGCUGCAACUUUAACAGGAUAACUAAGAAAUAGCAAAGAAAUCAGCAACUAAUCUGCGAGUGGUUCUGCCCAACGUUCUUCUAGUUUGACCCGGUUUUGAAUGCAACAACUCCAUGCAUUACGCUCCCGUC
This 295-nucleotide long non-coding RNA is filed under the name Phoenix dactylifera (date palm). RNAcentral's name for it is "long non-coding RNA (PDAC_LNC004178)". The record is from RNAcentral. Lineage: Eukaryota; Viridiplantae; Streptophyta; Magnoliopsida; Arecales; Arecaceae.